This 891-nucleotide ribosomal RNA is filed under the name uncultured archaeon. RNAcentral describes it as "bacterial SSU rRNA". It matches the Rfam family "Archaeal small subunit ribosomal RNA", at positions 460 to 1352 of the family's 1478-position model. The record is from RNAcentral.
AGCCGCCGCGGUAAUACCAGCUCUCCGAGUGGUGGGGACGCUUAUUGGGCCUAAAGCAUCCGUAGCCGGUCUGGCAAGUCCCUUGUUAAAUCCAGCGAUUCAAUCGCUGGACUGCAAGGGAUACUGUCAGACUAGGGGGCGGGAGAGGCCGACGGUAUUCCCGGGGUAGGGGUGAAAUCCUAUAAUCCCGGGAGGACCACCAGUGGCGAAGGCUGUCGGCUAGAACGCGCCCGACGGUGAGGGAUGAAAGCUGGGGGAGCGAACCGGAUUAGAUACCCGGGUAGUCCCAGCCGUAAACGAUGCGGGCUAGGUGUUGGAACGGCUACGUGCCGUUUCAGUGCCGCAGGGAAGCCAUUAAGCCCGCCGCCUGGGGAGUACGGCCGCAAGGCUGAAACUUAAAGGAAUUGGCGGGGGAGCACCACAAGGGGUGAAGCUUGCGGUUUAAUUGGAGUCAACGCCGGAAAACUUAUCGGGGGCGACAGCAGGAUGAAGGCCAGAUUGAAGGUCUUGCCGGACGAGCUGAGAGGAGGUGCAUGGCCGUCGCCAGUUCGUGCCGUGAGGUGUCCUGUUAAGUCAGGCAACGAUCGAGACCCACGCCCCCUGUUGCCACCGAGGAGGUUUCUCCAAGGGGCACUCUGGGGGGACUGCCGUCGAUAAGGCGGAGGAAGGAGUGGGCCACGGCAGGUCAGUAUGCCCCGAAUCCCCCGGGCCACACGCGAGCUGCAAUGGCUGGGACAGUGGGUUCCGACCUCGAAAGGGGGAGGUAAUCCCUAAACCCAGCCGUAGUUGGGAUCGAGGGCUGAAACUCGCCCUCGUGAACAUGGAAUCCCUAGUAAUCGCGCGUCAUCAUCGCGCGGUGAAUACGUCCCCGCUCCUUGCACACACCGCCCG